UAGUUGAAAUGGCUUUCCCUCCAGAGUGGAUCCUGAGUACGGCGGAACACGUGAAAUUCCGUCGGAAUCCGGGAGGACCAUCUCCCAAGGCUAAAUACUCCCUAGUGACCGAUAGUGAACCAGUACCGUGAGGGAAAGGUGAAAAGCACCCCGGAAGGGGAGUGAAACAGUUCCUGAAACCGUGUGCCUACAAGUAGUUAGAGCCCGUUAAUGGGUGAUAGCGUGCCUUUUGUAGAAUGAACCGGCGAGUUACGAUUUGUUGCAAGGUUAAGCGGAAAAAGCGGAGCCGUAGCGAAAGCGAGUCUGAAUAGGGCGCAUAAGUAACAGGUCGUAGACCCGAAACCAGGUGAUCUACCCAUGUCCAGGAUGAAGGUAAGGUAAUACUUACUGGAGGUCCGAACCCACGCACGUUGAAAAGUGCGGGGAUGAGGUGUGGGUAGCGGAGAAAUUCCAAUCGAACUUGGAGAUAGCUGGUUCUCUCCGAAAUAGCUUUAGGGCUAGCCUCGAGGUAAAGAGUCAUGGAGGUAGAGCACUGUUUGGACUAGGGGCCCUUCUCGGGUUACCGAAUUCAGAUAAACUCCGAAUGCCAUGUACUUAUACUCGGGAGUCAGACUGCGAGUGAUAAGAUCCGUAGUCGAAAGGGAAACAGCC
Molecule: ribosomal RNA, 651 nt
Filed under: Listeria monocytogenes
Lineage: Bacteria; Bacillati; Bacillota; Bacilli; Caryophanales; Listeriaceae
Description: partial 23S ribosomal RNA
Rfam family: Bacterial large subunit ribosomal RNA
Source: RNAcentral